RNAcentral lists this ribosomal RNA (263 nucleotides) under uncultured bacterium. RNAcentral's name for it is "partial 16S ribosomal RNA". It matches the Rfam family "Bacterial small subunit ribosomal RNA", at positions 524 to 786 of the family's 1533-position model. The record is from RNAcentral.
UACGGAGGAUGCGAGCGUUAUCCGGAUUUAUUGGGUUUAAAGGGUGCGUAGGCGGGCCGGUAAGUCAGCGGUGAAAUCCCGUGGCUCAACCAUGGAAUUGCCGUUGAAACUGCUGGUCUUGAAUAUGGUCAAGGUAGGCGGAAUGCGUAAUGUAGCGGUGAAAUGCUUAGAUAUUACGCGGAACACCUAUUGCGAAGGCAGCUUGCUGGGCCAGUAUUGACGCUGAGGCACGAAAGCGUGGGUAGCGAACAGGAUUAGAUACC